RNAcentral lists this ribosomal RNA (497 nucleotides) under uncultured bacterium. RNAcentral describes it as "bacterial SSU rRNA". It matches the Rfam family "Bacterial small subunit ribosomal RNA", at positions 29 to 520 of the family's 1533-position model. The record is from RNAcentral.
AUUGAACGCUGGCGGCGUGCUUAACACAUGCAAGUCGAUCGGUAACAGGUGUAGCAAUACAUGCUGACGAGAGGCGGACGGGUGAGUAAUGCUUGGGAAUCUGCCUAUUAGUGGGGGACAACCCGGGGAAACUCGGGCUAAUACCGCAUACGCUCUACGGAGGAAAGCCGGGGACCGCAAGGCCUGGCGCUAAUAGAUGAGCCCAAGUCGGAUUAGCUAGUUGGUAGGGUAACGGCCUACCAAGGCGACAAUCCGUAGCUGGUCUGAGAGGACGACCAGCCACACCGGAACUGAGACACGGUCCGGACUCCUACGGGAGGCAGCAGUGGGGAAUAUUGGACAAUGGGGGGCAACCCUGAAUCCAGCGACGCCGCGUGGGUGAAGAAGGCCUGCGGGUUGUAAAGCCCUUUCGGUGGGAAGGAAGUCUCGACUAAUACGUCGGGACCUUGACGUAACCACUAAAGAAGCACCGGCUAACUCUGUGCCAGCAGCCGCCG